UCCCCAUUUCCCACACUCUCUCACCGGUCAGAGUGACGAGAGAGUGUGAAAAAUGAAGAAA
RNAcentral lists this microRNA precursor (61 nucleotides) under Pristionchus pacificus. Its description in RNAcentral is "mir-8364 microRNA precursor family". It matches the Rfam family "mir-8364 microRNA precursor family". The record is from Rfam by way of RNAcentral. Lineage: Eukaryota; Metazoa; Nematoda; Chromadorea; Rhabditida; Neodiplogasteridae.